Molecule: long non-coding RNA, 3715 nt
Filed under: Equus caballus (horse)
Lineage: Eukaryota; Metazoa; Chordata; Mammalia; Perissodactyla; Equidae
Description: lncRNA (ENSECAG00000055219.1)
Source: RNAcentral
AUUCUGGAUAUUUCAUAUAAGUGGAAUCAUGUAAUAUGUGGUCUUUCACGAGUGGCUUCUCUCACUUAGCGGAAUGUUUUUGAGGUUCAUCCACGUUACAGCAUAUAUCAGCACUUUGUUCCUUUUCAUGGCUGAACAAUAUUGCAUUGUGUGGAUACACCACAUUUUGUUUCUCCGUUCACCUGUUGAUGGACAUUUGGGUUGUUUCCACCUUUUGGCUAUUGUGAAUGGUGCUGCUAUGAUCAUGCGUGUGCAUGUCUCUGAGUCUCUAUUUUCAAUCCUUUGGGGUAUAUACCUAGGAGUGGAAUUGCUGGGUCAUAGGGUAAUUCUUUUAGGAACUGCCAAGCUGUUUUGCACGGUGCUGCACAAUGUACACUUCCCACCAGCAAUGCGUGUGUCCCAAUUUUUGCAAUCUUCAUCACCACUUGUUAUUUUCCAUUUUUUCAAUUAUUCUAGUCCUCCUAGUGGGUACGAUGUGGUAUCUCGGUGUGCUUUUGACUUGCAUUUCUCUAGUGACGGAUGGUGGGGAGCAUCUUUUCACACGCUGUUGGCUGUUUAUAUAUCUUCUGUCUGUAAACUUUUAAUGAAAGGCAUUUUGUUGUCAUCUAACUGCUUUGGGAAACAUUCUCAGGAGGUGAGAAACUCAACACACCUCCACCUUGCAAUCUUUCCCCUCUGACCUCUAAGUAGACGGAGGGCAGAGGGAGGUGGAUGCUGGGGAGACAGAAGGACUAAGUGCCAAUCGGCCCCUCUCCUUCAGUCCUGCUUGUCUCCUACCGGGCAGGCUGUAGCUUUAUGCUUCAUUCUCUUUCAUCUCCUCAUGGGAAACUUCAGGGCUAUUUAGCUCUUCCUGUGUCUCGAGCUAACAAUUCUAGACAAACCAUGGAUCUGUGGAGCAGGAGAUGGUGUGUUCUCAGCCUUAGAUAGGUACCAGAUAGAAAAUCAAAAGUAAACAUCCACCUUCUUCUCAAGCCAUCAGAGCGUGGCAUGCCCCUGCUUACAAACCUUCCACAGCCGUGCCUUUCACUGACGUGAAAGCCAUGAGCAUUUCUGGAGGCCGGCGUGCUGUGGCCCCUGCCCAGCUCCUCAAUAGCUUCUACUGCUCAAGGCCCCACCCUCGAAGCCCCUGUACCACCGGCCCACUUUCUAUUUGAGCCCACCUGGCUGUUCUGCCUCCGCCCCGAGGGUGAGGCUGUGGAGACUCCCGUGGCCAGCGCCGCGUCCAGCCCCUCUCAGUGAGGACUGCUUUCCUUCCCUCCUGCGAGUCUGGCUCCUCCUCAUCCUUCAGGCCCGAGCUCUUCAGAGGGGUCUUGCCUCACCCAGCUUACCAAAAAUAGCACGUCUCUCCCUUCGGUUCCUGAUAAAGAAAAAACUGUUCUGAUGGUUGUUAAGAUGAAAAGCAAGAGCUCCUGAGGGCAGAGGUUUCCCUCUUCUCAGCCCACACUCUGCGUCUGGAGCAGUGCUGGCGGCCGCGGCAGCAAGCGUGUGCCCGCCGUGGGGCUUCACCGAAAUUCAAGGAAACUCACCAAGGAAACCUGGUGGGCCCCUACUGUGGUGUGGAGUGGGCACGGACAACAGUAUUGAAGCCAGUGUAGACGAGCAGCUGUGUUUCACGUACAACAUUGCCAUUGUUCUGUUUCUAUAGCUUGAUAGUCAAGGUGUCUUUAGUUUCCAACACUGUUAGGAGCUGGACUCCAGCAAGCGUGGGUUGUAUAUUUCACAGUUGUUCUUGGUGCCACAACCGUGCAGGUGCGCCUGCGAGCCCUGCACCGGUGCCGGCCAGCACCACGUCAGCUGUGGUCUAAGGCUGCUUGUGCUUUGUUGAGAACGAGGCCACGGUUCUCAGCAGUGUUUUUGAGAUGUUGGUCCCUUGAAACGCAUCGAAAAAACCCUACGGCUGCCUACAGAAUUACUUUUGAUGUUUAGCACGUGGCUGCCAAAAAUUUCCCAACCAUCAAAACGUUUUCAGCAGUGUAGAUGUUUACAAUGUGAACUCGAUUUAUUAAACUUGUUUAUUUAACUUUUUAAGCGAUUUCUUAAACUUUCGUUUUGGUCUUCACGAUGCCAAAGACCAGGUUCAUGGAAUAUUCACUUUUUAAGUGCUGGCUACAGUGUCCUUGAGAGAAUUUGAGUGCGCAUGUUGAUCUUUAUUUUAAAAGGGAGAGUGAAGCAUUGCAGCUGACUGUGGUAAUUGUUGAGCACGUCAAAUAAAACGCAAACGUCGGUAGAGAAAUAUGAGGGAGAGAUUUCUAACACCCCCGCUCACUCCACUGGACUGCCAGAAGUUCCAUCUUGCACACUGAGUCAAGGCAAACGUGUUAUGUGGAGCAGUCACUGGCCAGUCUGUACUCCUCUUUCGUUUUAAAGAUCCGGCGUCUUAUGCUUCAAGCACAGUGCUGGGUGCUAGACGUGGAAGGAAGGUGUGAGGCAGCACGACGUGCGGUCCUAGGGUCUGCAAAAGGUCCUUUAGGACAGAGGCAAUAUGUGAUUGCUGGGGGAGCCCACAGCAGGAGUCAAUCAGCUAUGCGGGAAGUGCCAGACCUGGAAGGGCACUUGAGAACCCAACCCCCUUACUGCACAAAGAGAAGGUCCUUUGCCAAGUUCACGAAUCUGGACGGAGAUCGUGUAUGACCAGGCUUCGCAGCCCCCGUUCGCUGGCCCUCCUCCUGCACUGCUGGGCAGCCACUCGAAGUCCUUUCUACGGGGCCUGAUAUUCACUGACCGACUCACAGUGAUCAAUUCCAUUUGUUUGUAAAACGUGUUCCCCAAAGACCAUCAACUUCUAGUGCUGCUGCUGGAAUAAAGAGAAAAUAGAACAGUCUAAAAAGGCAAUGCUUCUUAGAAAAUUUAACCAAAACUUCAAAAAUGUAGAACGCCAAGUUCAAUAGAUUUAGAAUUGUGAUAUGACUAAGGCUGCCAGAGAGUCUGUGUGUAAACAAGAAAAAGCACCCUGGGAACUGCUGUGAGGAGUCCAGGCGGUGCAGAAGGUGUUCAAGCAAAAAGGAGCUUUGAUUAAAGCUGAAAAAGUCAUUGGUGUGAGGUUCAGAGAUGUGCACAAAAUCAAGUCAGUCUCACAUGAAACGUGAAGGACUUGAUAGAAUCCCAGGAGUUUGUGCACAUAAUCCCGUGAAGCUUCAGGAGGCGAAAUCUUCAGCAUCGCUAGUCAACCAACCGUUCACCACAGGAGCAGGGCACGGGCCAUCCCUGCCAACGGGUUCCCCAGAGCACAAGGGGCUGCGGGUGGAGCCCGGGGAGGACGGAGGUUGAGUUUAGACCAAAACUUCUCACAUUCCAAGAAAAGCAAGUGAGAGUUCAGGGUGGCCAGGGCCAGGAUCUCCCCCAGUUUUGUGCAAUGAGACAGGCUCCAUGACUGAGGACCAACUUCUUAAGGAAGUCCAAAAUAUUAAGGGGGAAGAUUAAGACAUUUCUGACUGGUCUCUUAAGUCUAUUGUCAGAGUGCUAUUUGUGAAUUCCGGGACUGGUGAGUUGUAGUUAAUGACAAGAGUGGAUUUUCAGUGUUCAUGAGAGAUUUAUCCAUGUUUGUCUAAAGAAAACACGUGCACGCACACAAACGCGCAGGCGGGCAAAGGGGAAGUGAGGGUGGGGGAAGCAAGAGAGAGAAAGAUGAAAGAAAUUCACCAAAAGCUGCUUGUGAGUCUUCGCUUCUGGUCGUGAGGAAGUGUCAGGGAUUGGACUAACCUUUGUGUGCUGUGAA